CGGUCGCAGUCUCGGUCGCAGUCGCAGUCGCGGAGUCAGUGUCAGGGCUAGUGGCAGUGCAUGCCAAAGCCAUGAGGCUGAUUUCCAAGAAUAAAUUGUGAUUUCGUUCAAAUAGUUGAUCCAUAAGGGAUUAUACGUGGAACACAUGGUGGCAGCUUAUAGCUAACGGAUAUUACCUGGCGUUAUCGGACUCCAGUAUUUUUUUUCAAAUGUUAGAGUUUUCACCCAUUUUCCGCCUGCGGUAAUAUUAAAAAAUAAUCGAUCGGAUAAAAAAUAUAUAUCUAUAUAAAAAAUAUAUUAACAGUUGUGCUGAUGCCCAGAGGCGCGGAUUGUUCGAAAAGCGUGAAACACGUAUACAAUACACUUGCCCAAGCAAGUGGAUUAUUGCAAGCCCUCUUAGUCUUAGCGGGCACUUCAGGAAAAAAACACGUAUUUUAUGAAUAAUCCUGCUGACCUGCAGUAAAUAUGGGGUUUUCCGCAUGAACUGAGUGCUUGAAUUGCCAGCUGAUGCCCUGUUGCAUAUGAAACCCACAUUGAUCAGUUCAAGAACCUUUGAGGAUAACUCUGGCACAUAUCAAAGCUAGCCUGUCAGCUGCCAAGAGCGAGCAACGCUUCAAUAACUCAUCCGGAAUCGUGUUCACCCCUUUGUGCGUGCCACAUACCAAAUGCAAAUUCAUGGGGCACGCUCUCUGGGCCAUGGCUGCUUUGACUGCUUUGCAUAUUGACAUCAUCAUUUUGCCGAGACGACAAACUGUCAAACAAAACAAUUGCUGUCAAAUUUACUACAAUGAGCCGGGCGCUGAAAGCGGCCAAAGGAAGUGAGAUGAACAAAAAGCCAAAAUAUGGGAGAAAUAAAAAUGCUCGAUAGAAAAAAAUUGA
This is a long non-coding RNA of Drosophila montana, 879 nucleotides long. RefSeq lists it as uncharacterized. The transcript has 4 exons. The record is from RefSeq and is a predicted model, not a curated record. Lineage: Eukaryota; Metazoa; Arthropoda; Insecta; Diptera; Drosophilidae.